AGGACGAACGCUGGCGGCGUGCUUAACACAUGCAAGUCGAGCGGUGAUCCUCCUUCGGGAGGUGAUCAGCGGCGAACGGGUGAGUAACACGUGGGCAACCUGCCCCUCACACUGGGAUAACCUCGGGAAACCGGGGCUAAUACCGGAUACGACCUCGAGCGGCAUCUCUUGAGGUGGAAAGCUCCGACGGUGAGGGAUGGGCCCGCGGCCUAUCAGCUUGUUAGGUGGGGUAAUGGCCUACCAAGGCGACGACGGGUAGCCGGCCUGAGAGGGCGACCGGCCACGACUGGGACUGGAGACACGGCCCAGACUCCUACGGGAGGCAGCAGUGGGGAAUAUUGCGCAAUGGGCGAAAGCCUGACGCAGCGACGCCGCGUGAGGGAUGAAGGCCUUCGGGUUGUAAACCGUCUUUCAGCAGGGACGAAGCGAAAGUGACGGUACCUGCAGAAGAAGCACCGGCUAACUACGUGCCAGCAGCCGC
This 481-nucleotide ribosomal RNA is filed under the name uncultured bacterium. RNAcentral's name for it is "SSU rRNA". It matches the Rfam family "Bacterial small subunit ribosomal RNA", at positions 26 to 518 of the family's 1533-position model. The record is from RNAcentral.